AUUGAACGCUGGCGGCAGGCCUAACACAUGCAAGUCGAGCGGUAACGCGGGGCAACCUGGCGACGAGCGGCGGACGGGUGAGUAACGCGUAGGAAUCUACCUGGUAGUGGGGGAUAGCCCGGGGAAACUCGGAUUAAUACCGCAUACGCCUUAAGGGGGAAAGCAGGGGAUCUUCGGACCUUGUGCUAUCAGAAGAGCCU
This 200-nucleotide ribosomal RNA is filed under the name uncultured bacterium. RNAcentral's name for it is "partial 16S ribosomal RNA". It matches the Rfam family "Bacterial small subunit ribosomal RNA", at positions 30 to 232 of the family's 1533-position model. The record is from RNAcentral.